Molecule: long non-coding RNA, 1247 nt
Filed under: Bemisia tabaci
Lineage: Eukaryota; Metazoa; Arthropoda; Insecta; Hemiptera; Aleyrodidae
Description: lncRNA ENSSSA1NGG010015
Source: RNAcentral
CAUAAGAAAAUCAAUGAAAAGUCACGUUAAGAAAAGUCAAUAGUAUAUGUUGCUCCUGAAAUGAACUGGAAACGUUGGUUUGAGCUUCAUGUCCACUGAACCCGAACCAAUUGCAGUGAUGAGUCUAAAUUUUAUAGUUCCUAAAAAGAUUUUACAUAUUAGUUUUGUGUAUUUUCCCUCUCUUUCUCCUUAAGCACUCCAGAAUGAUUUCAAGAUUUCAAUUCUUGUCCAAACAGGAUACAAAAGACUCCAUCUUACCAGUUAUUCAGAAGUAUAUGAAAAACUUCCUUAAUGACUACACGCUGAUAAAUAUACAAGGUGAGACGUGGACGCAUGAGAUCAAAAAUAUGGUGACGAUCGUAUGUGACGACAAUGUGAGCUAUUGCAGCGUUCUGAGCCAGGCUUUGACCGAUUGCAAUAAACCAGCAACUUACGUCGUUUCAAGCAAAAGCGGCUGUACAAGAAACGAGUCUGUCAUUGGUGUGAAAGAGUCGAUAACAAACUAUCUACCUUCUUCUUUGCAAGAAUUAGAGGAAAUGGGAGAAUUUUUAUGUCACUGGGACUCCAGAUUGAGCCCACAGGUUCCUGCUACAUUCAUACAGACUACAUCGUUAGCGACUAAUAUGCCAUGCAAGCACGGAGACGUCCUUCCUGUGUUUAUCAUCCCAGCUUUUUGCGAAACGCAGCUGAGACCUCUACUUUCCAAAUUCAUGUACCCCUGCUACACUGCUCACACACAUUCCGAAGCAAAUUCAGCACGACAAAUUGCGGAGCAUCUAUUCUCGUCUAUGACGAGAGUCCAAACGAAAGGACCUUACACGAUAGUAGCAGAAACGUGGAGUGGAGGGGUAGCGAUGCUUCUCGCAAAUCUUCUGACUGAUGCCAACCAUGAAGUAUCCCUCUUUUUACUACAAGGAUUUCCGAGAAAGAUGUAUUCUCUGUUACCUCAAGAAAAAUGUAUAGCUGAUUGCCUGUUGGAGGUUUUGUUGGAACUAAUUGAAAAAGAGGAUCCGAGCAAAAUGAUGGAUCUCAAUGGUACCAAAGGGUUCAAAACAGCAAUGCAACUGAUUUCGAAUAAAUUCAACAGAAGUUUUGUCUCGCGGGCGUUCCAUACUAUUGAAAGGAAUUUAGAACUCGUGAAGAGUCUCACGAAUCGGAAGAUUUCUUUACAGAGUGCUUUAGUUCUUAUGGAAGUAAGCCAGACCUGCAAGCUGACAUCUGAUGAAGUUGAAGAGGUAUGUUUGUAG